Molecule: ribosomal RNA, 774 nt
Filed under: uncultured Streptococcaceae bacterium
Lineage: Bacteria; Bacillati; Bacillota; Bacilli; Lactobacillales; Streptococcaceae
Description: bacterial SSU rRNA
Rfam family: Bacterial small subunit ribosomal RNA
Source: RNAcentral
UUGCUACACCAUAGACUGUGAGUUGCGAACGGGUGAGUAACGCGUAGGUAACCUGCCUAUUAGAGGGGGAUAACUAUUGGAAACGAUAGCUAAUACCGCAUAACAGUAUGUAACACAUGUUAGAUGCUUGAAAGAUGCAAUUGCAUCGCUAGUAGAUGGACCUGCGUUGUAUUAGCUAGUAGGUAGGGUAAAGGCCUACCUAGGCAACGAUACAUAGCCGACCUGAGAGGGUGAUCGGCCACACUGGGACUGAGACACGGCCCAGACUCCUACGGGAGGCAGCAGUAGGGAAUCUUCGGCAAUGGGGGGAACCCUGACCGAGCAACGCCGCGUGAGUGAAGAAGGUUUUCGGAUCGUAAAGCUCUGUUGUUAAGGAAGAACGAGUGUGAGAAUGGAAAGUUCAUACUGUGACGGUACUUAACCAGAAAGGGACGGCUAACUACGUGCCAGCAGCCGCGGUAAUACGUAGGUCCCGAGCGUUGUCCGGAUUUAUUGGGCGUAAAGCGAGCGCAGGCGGUUAGAAAAGUCUGAAGUGAAAGGCAGUGGCUCAACCAUUGUAGGCUUUGGAAACUGUUUAACUUGAGUGCAGAAGGGGAGAGUGGAAUUCCAUGUGUAGCGGUGAAAUGCGUAGAUAUAUGGAGGAACACCGGUGGCGAAAGCGGCUCUCUGGUCUGUAACUGACGCUGAGGCUCGAAAGCGUGGGGAGCGAACAGGAUUAGAUACCCUGGUAGUCCACGCCGUAAACGAUGAGUGCUAGGUGUUAGGUCCUUUCCG